AAUUCCUGCAGCUGGGCUUGCUGCGACACCCUUUGAACUGCUGUGGCCCCAGCUGGUUCCCUUAAUUAGUCGGGGUAUCUUUCCCGCCUCAGCUUGGUGCAGUUUCUUCAGCAUCUCCGGGCUAGAAUAUCAUCUGUCAGCUAAAACAGCUUUUAAGAGCAAAUGCUGUGGUGAUAAUAACUUCCACUAAACAGAAGUACACACUGCAACAAGAAAUAAAAAUCCUCAUGAUUGGUCCUGCUUUUAAUAGUUUUGAUUGAAAAGCAGUGGACUGAUGCAU
This is a long non-coding RNA of Alligator sinensis (Chinese alligator), 280 nucleotides long. RefSeq lists it as uncharacterized. Lineage: Eukaryota; Metazoa; Chordata; Crocodylia; Alligatoridae. The record is from RefSeq and is a predicted model, not a curated record. The transcript is spliced from 3 exons.